UACGUAGGGGGCAAGCGUUGUUCGGAUUUAUUGGGCGUAAAGAGCGUGUAGGCGGUCAGGUAGGUCCGUUGUGAAAACUCGAGGCUCAACCUCGAGACGCCGAUGGAAACCAUCUGACUAGAGUCCGGAAGAGGAGAGUGGAAUUCCUGGUGUAGCGGUGAAAUGCGCAGAUAUCAGGAAGAACACCCGUGGCUAAGGCGGCUCUCUAGUACGGUACUGACGCUGAGACGCGAAAGCGUGGGGAGCGAACAGG
Molecule: ribosomal RNA, 253 nt
Filed under: uncultured bacterium
Lineage: Bacteria
Description: partial 16S ribosomal RNA
Rfam family: Bacterial small subunit ribosomal RNA
Source: RNAcentral